Long non-coding RNA from Acinonyx jubatus (cheetah), 588 nucleotides. RefSeq lists it as uncharacterized. Lineage: Eukaryota; Metazoa; Chordata; Mammalia; Carnivora; Felidae. The record is from RefSeq and is a predicted model, not a curated record. The transcript is spliced from 2 exons.
AGGGGCGAGGGAGGGGCUGAAAACACCUGUUUGAAGAAGAUACCCGCUCUCCAGUUCUGGAGGUCCCUGGUUCCUGGUCUCCUUCCCACACACACCUUUGGGUCUUCAGUCAUCAGCCCCCCCCCCCCCCCCCAUUAACAGCCUCAGUAAAGAGGGAGGAAUAGCAUUGGCCAUACCUUAAGAGGCUUCUGGUAGGGGCUUCCUUCCAAGGAGCAGAGUACGGAAAGGGGAAGAAAGGAAUAACCUGACAGUGGAGAAACCUGCCAGCAUCCCUUGGCCCGCCGGUCACGGCCGUCGGCAGCCAUGGCGAGUCAUGUGAGGGCAUAUGCACCCUGGCUAUGAUGUGAGGAGAGGGGCACCGUACCUCUGGGGACAUCCUCCCUCCAGCUCACAAGCCCGGUCUAAUCAGGAGAAAAAUAUCAGACCAACCCCCCCUGAGGGACAUUCUGCAAAAUACCUGACUGGCACCCCUCACAACUGCCCAGCCCAGAGGAGCCCGAGAUGACAAGACAACAAAGUGUAGUGGGGUGAUGGGAUCCUGGAACUGGAAAGGAAUGUGAAAUUAAAACCGUGGAAAUCCGAAUCAGG